UCGCUCACUAGAGUAUAACAACAUUACAUGUGAGAACUCACUGCCCAUUGCUGUAGUUUUCUAGUCACUUUAUCUUCUUUGCCAUUCUCAUACAAUAAAGGCAAAAAAGGAGUGGAGAAAGGAGAAAAUGGGAAGAAAGGUGAGCAAAGACCAGGACAGUGAAAAUAAUAUCGAGGAGCUGCCCAGUACAGCCAAGAUACCAAGAAAGAAAAGGUUUAUUGGCAUUCCUGCAAAAUAUCUGUGCAUGGAUGACCUGUAAAAGGAGGAAAACUUCCAGCAAGGAAGAGAAGUGUAAGAGACCACUCCGGACCGACAACAUCCAUCUGAUCGACCGUACAGGCAAAAAAGGAGUGGAGAAAGGAGAAAAUGGGAAGAAAGGUGAGCAAAGACCAGGACAGUGAAAAUAAUAUCGAGGAGCUGCCCAGUACAGCCAAGAUACCAAGAAAGAAAAGGUUUAUUGGCAUUCCUGCAAAAUAUCUGUGCCUGGAUGACCUGUAAAAGGAGGAAAACUUCCAGCAAGGAAGAGAAGUGUAAGAAACCACUCCGGACCGACAACAUCCAUCUGAUCGACCGUACAGGCAAAAAAGGAGUGGAGAAAGGAGAAAAUGGGAAGAAAGGUGAGCAAAGACCAGGACAGUGGAAAUAAUAUCGAGGAGCUGCCCAGUACAGCCAAGAUACCAAGAAAGAAAAGGUUUAUUGGCAUUCCUGCAAAAUAUCUGUGCCUGGAUGACCUGUAAAAGGAGGAAAACUUCCAGCAAGGAAGAGAAGUGUAAGAGACCACUCCGGACCGACAACAUCCAUCUGAUCGACCGUACAGGAUUCCCAGGAGGACUAUAAGCCAGGACUGCAGGAGCACACAGCAAAAUGGACACACAGCAUAAAUUCUGUCAGUGUGAAGU
This is a long non-coding RNA of Hyla sarda, 899 nucleotides long. RefSeq lists it as uncharacterized. The record is from RefSeq and is a predicted model, not a curated record. The transcript is spliced from 4 exons. NCBI's taxonomy places the organism in Eukaryota, Metazoa, Chordata, Amphibia, Anura, Hylidae.